Lontra canadensis (Northern American river otter) is the source of this 283-nucleotide long non-coding RNA. RefSeq lists it as uncharacterized. The transcript is spliced from 3 exons. The record is from RefSeq and is a predicted model, not a curated record. Lineage: Eukaryota; Metazoa; Chordata; Mammalia; Carnivora; Mustelidae.
CCAGAAGGGAAGCAGAUGAAGGCACCCUCCUUCCAGAGACACCCUAUCUAUGAAGGACACCCUUACAAAACACUGGAAUGUGUUGCUAACAAAGGGAAGCUGUUCCAGAAGAAGGUUUUCAGUGUUAUCUUUUGUUGUUGAAUAUAGGAAAGACUGUGGCAGUUCUGCUUCUACAGUAAUGGCGAAGGCACGCCAUCUCAUAGUCCAGCUUUUCACUGAAGAUGUGAGUGACUUGAAUGGCCUAAUUAUUUAUUAUAUAUUAAAUACAGGUACUGCUUUUAAU